AAAUUGAAGAGUUUGAUCAUGGCUCAGAUUGAACGCUGGCGGCAGGCCUAACACAUGCAAGUCGAACGGUAGCACAGAGAGCUUGCUCUCGGGUGACGAGUGGCGGACGGGUGAGUAAUGUCUGGGAAACUGCCUGAUGGAGGGGGAUAACUACUGGAAACGGUGGCUAAUACCGCAUAACGUCGCAAGACCAAAGAGGGGGACCUUCGGGCCUCUUGCCAUCAGAUGUGCCCAGAUGGGAUUAGCUUGUUGGUGAGGUAACGGCUCACCAAGGCGACGAUCCCUAGCUGGUCUGAGAGGAUGACCAGCCACACUGGAACUGAGACACGGUCCAGACUCCUACGGGAGGCAGCAGUGGGGAAUAUUGCACAAUGGGCGCAAGCCUGAUG
This 389-nucleotide ribosomal RNA is filed under the name Salmonella enterica subsp. enterica serovar Infantis. RNAcentral's name for it is "bacterial SSU rRNA". It matches the Rfam family "Bacterial small subunit ribosomal RNA", at positions 1 to 388 of the family's 1533-position model. Lineage: Bacteria; Pseudomonadati; Pseudomonadota; Gammaproteobacteria; Enterobacterales; Enterobacteriaceae. RNAcentral also lists the same sequence under 1 other name. The record is from RNAcentral.